RNAcentral lists this ribosomal RNA (486 nucleotides) under uncultured bacterium. RNAcentral describes it as "bacterial SSU rRNA". It matches the Rfam family "Bacterial small subunit ribosomal RNA", at positions 28 to 526 of the family's 1533-position model. The record is from RNAcentral.
GACGAACGCUGGCGGCGUGCUUAACACAUGCAAGUCGAGCGAGGCCUUUCCUUCGGGAGAGUGUCCUAGCGGCGAACGGGUGAGUAACACGUGGGCAACCUGCCCUCAGCUCUGGGAUAACUCCAAGAAAUUGGGGCUAAUACCGGAUAUGACCGCUGACCGCAUGGUCUGGUGGUGGAAAGAUUUAUCGGCUGGGGAUGGGCCCGCGGCCUAUCAGCUUGUUGGUGGGGUAGUGGCCUACCAAGGCGACGACGGGUAGCCGGCCUGAGAGGGUGACCGGCCACACUGGGACUGAGACACGGCCCAGACUCCUACGGGAGGCAGCAGUGGGGAAUAUUGCGCAAUGGGCGAAAGCCUGACGCAGCGACGCCGCGUGGGGGAUGACGGCCUUCGGGUUGUAAACCUCUUUCAGCAGGGACGAAGCGAAAGUGACGGUACCUGCAGAAGAAGCACCGGCCAACUACGUGCCAGCCGCCGCAGUAACAC